Molecule: ribosomal RNA, 252 nt
Filed under: uncultured bacterium
Lineage: Bacteria
Description: partial 16S ribosomal RNA
Rfam family: Bacterial small subunit ribosomal RNA
Source: RNAcentral
UACGAGGGAUCCUAGCGUUGUUCGGAAUCAUUGGGCGUAAAGGUGUGUAGGCGGACUUGUAAGUCAGUUGUGAAAGCCCCGGGCUCAACCCGGGAAGUGCUUCUGAUACUGCUUGUCUUGAGUAUUGGAUAGGUGAGUGGAAUUCCAGGUGUAGUGGUGAAAUACGUAGAUAUCUGGAGGAACACCGGCGGCGAAGGCGGCUCACUGGCCAUAUACUGACGCUGAAACACGAAAGCGUGGGUAGCAAACAGG